UACGGAGGGUGCAAGCGUUGUCCGGAUUUAUUGGGUUUAAAGGGUGCGUAGGUGGCGUCUUAAGUCUGGUUUGAAAGCUGGUGGCUCAACCAUCAGAUGUGGCUGGAAACUGGGGCGCUUGAAUGGGUUGGCGGUAGCCGGAAUGGGUCAUGUAGCGGUGAAAUGCAUAGAUAUGACCCGGAACACCGAUUGCGAAGGCAGGCUACUACGACUUGAUUGACACUGAGGCACGAGAGCAUGGGUAGCGAACAGG
RNAcentral lists this ribosomal RNA (253 nucleotides) under uncultured bacterium. RNAcentral's name for it is "partial 16S ribosomal RNA". It matches the Rfam family "Bacterial small subunit ribosomal RNA", at positions 524 to 776 of the family's 1533-position model. The record is from RNAcentral.